GAUUAUGGCUCAGGAUGAACGCUAGCUACAGGCUUAACACAUGCAAGUCGAGGGGUAGCAGGGUAGCAAUACCGCUGACGACCGGCGCACGGGUGAGUAACACGUAUCCAACCUUCCCAUAACUCAGGGAUAGCCUUUCGAAAGAAAGAUUAAUACCUGAUAGUACUUUUUCAAGGCAUCUUGAGAAAGUUAAAGAUUUAUUGGUUAUGGAUGGGGAUGCGUUCCAUUAGAUAGUUGGUGAGGUAACGGCUCACCAAGUCUUCGAUGGAUAGGGGUUCUGAGAGGAAGGUCCCCCACAUUGGUACUGAGACACGGACCAAACUCCUACGGGAGGCAGCAGUGAGGAAUAUUGGUCAAUGGGCGAGAGCCUGAACCAGCCAAGUAGCGCGAAGGAAUGAAGGUCCUAUGGAUUGUAAACUUCUUUUAUAGUAGAAUAAAGUGAUCCACGUGUGGAUUUUUGUAUGUAUACUAUGAAUAAGGAUCGGCUAACUCCGUGCCAGCCGCCGC
Molecule: ribosomal RNA, 507 nt
Filed under: uncultured bacterium
Lineage: Bacteria
Description: bacterial SSU rRNA
Rfam family: Bacterial small subunit ribosomal RNA
Source: RNAcentral